Molecule: transfer RNA, 78 nt
Filed under: Brachyspira hyodysenteriae WA1
Lineage: Bacteria; Pseudomonadati; Spirochaetota; Spirochaetia; Brachyspirales; Brachyspiraceae
Also listed under: 2 other names
Description: tRNA-Phe
Rfam family: tRNA
About the family: Transfer RNA (tRNA) molecules are approximately 80 nucleotides in length. Their secondary structure includes four short double-helical elements and three loops (D, anti-codon, and T loops). Further hydrogen bonds mediate the characteristic L-shaped molecular structure. tRNAs have two regions of fundamental functional importance: the anti-codon, which is responsible for specific mRNA codon recognition, and the 3' end, to which the tRNAs corresponding amino acid is attached (by aminoacyl-tRNA synthetases). tRNAs cope with the degeneracy of the genetic code in two manners: having more than one tRNA (with a specific anti-codon) for a particular amino acid; and 'wobble' base-pairing, i.e. permitting non-standard base-pairing at the 3rd anti-codon position.
Source: RNAcentral
UGCCGAGUUAGCUCAGUAGGUAGAGCAAAGGACUGAAAAUCCUUGUGUCUAGGGUUCGAUUCCCUGACUCGGCACAUU